This 839-nucleotide long non-coding RNA is filed under the name Marmota monax (woodchuck). Lineage: Eukaryota; Metazoa; Chordata; Mammalia; Rodentia; Sciuridae. The record is from RNAcentral.
CUUAGCCACAUGGAAAAUCCACCAUCUUGGAUUUAAUGAAAUCCGUAUACCGCCAAAGACGUAUGAGGGUAUUGAUAGGAUUUUGCCGUCAAAUAUAGUGAUUCCAAAUGCCUCCUAAAAAAAUAUCUAGCAGGUUCACAUAAUUCUGACAUAGUUUCUACUUUCUUUUUGUCUCCUCUGUAUCCAUUUGUAUGAUUGUGAAAGACCCUCAACUACCAACUUCACUGGUUUAAUUGGUAAUCUCUGCACAGUGCUUCAGUGCCGUGCCAAGUGCCAAGGACAACAGAGGAGCUUAUGUGAUCACAGUGGCUAUCGUCAAGAGUGCUUAAAGCAUUCUGGAACUUACAGCAGUAAUCAUAUUGUGAUGGACCUGGAUGGAGAUUUCCUUUAUAAAUUAACGUGUAUGUCUGUUGGAAAUCUGGAUGAUUACUGAUUACUGAACUCUAAAUGUUGUGAACAUGGUGAACCCUGUUCCAGAUACUAUUUCUAUUUCUAUUUUAAAAGCCCCAUCUCAGUCCCUUCUUCAAUGGCCAGUUGAUUGUGGCAGAGAUGACUUAGCAACAUUCCUUCCAUGUGCUUUGUUCACUCCUACAGAAAUAGAAGGUCUAGCUGAAUGCAAAGCUGCCAGCUACAGAUUGUAUUGUCUAAUCUCCUUUUCAAUUAGAUGCCUGCUGAAACUAGAUUUGGGGCAGAGCUGUAAGCAGAAGUGAUAUGCACAACUUCCAGCUAAUAUCUUAAAAAUAAAAGGUCCAUGAUCUCCCUUCCCCCUCUACUGCCUUCCUACUUUACUGAAGGCAGAUGUGGUGACAGGAGUGUUAGAGUCUGUAAACAAGUCAAAA